RNAcentral lists this ribosomal RNA (1434 nucleotides) under Triticum aestivum (bread wheat). RNAcentral describes it as "partial small subunit ribosomal RNA". Lineage: Eukaryota; Viridiplantae; Streptophyta; Magnoliopsida; Poales; Poaceae. The record is from RNAcentral.
AUGGCCGGGAUAUACCGUCCCGAGCCGCAGAACCCCACCGCGCGCCGCCAGCGCCUCGUAUCAAUCCUCCUCGGCGCCUUCUUCGCCUUCCAGCUCCUCCUCUUCGUCGCCUUUCGCUCCUCGCCGCCCUCCAAGCCCGCCCCGACCGCAUCCGCAAUCUCCUCUUCCGUACCGGAGCCGCCCAGCCGCGGCACCGAGGACUCCGGGUGCGGGGGUGGGCUCGUGUACGUCUACGACCUCCCCGCCGUCUUCAACGAGGAUCUGCUCGCCAUGUGUGAUACGCUGAUGCCGAUGUACUCGGUUUGCCCCUACCUCGCUAACGACGGGCUCGGGUUCCCGGCGGAAGGGACCAGCUUGUCGACGAUCCUGCCGGCCGAGCUUCUUGGGUCGUGGCACUCCUCCGACCAGUUCGCGCUCGAGCACAUCGUCCACCGCCGCCUGCUCUCGCACCGGUGCCGGACCACCGAUCCGGCGCGCGCUGCGGCGUUCUUCGUGCCGUUCUACGCGGGGCUGGCCGUCGGGCGCCACCUGUGGUCGGCGAACGCCACGGACGCCGACCGGGACAGGGACUGCGUCGCUCUGCUUUCGUGGCUCCACGCGCAACCGUACUACAAGCGGUCCAAUGGCUGGGACCACUUCCUCGCGCUGGGCCGCAUUACCUGGGACUUCCGCCGCAGUCCGAGCGGCGGGUGGGGCGGCAGCUUCCUCGCCAUGCCCGGGGUCGCCAACGUCACCCGCCUCGUCAUCGAGCGCGAGCCAUGGGACGCCAUGGACGUCGGCAUACCGUACCCGACCGGAUUCCACCCGCGCACCGCGGCCGACGCGCGCGCGUGGCAGCAGCACGUCACGUCAGUCCCGCGCCCCAGGCUGUUCGCCUUCGCCGGCGCGCCGCGGUCGGCCAUCAAGGGCGACUUCCGCGCGUUGCUGCUCAACGAUUGCCAGGCCGCGGGGGCCGAGUGCGGCGCGCUGGACUGCGCCGAGGGCAAGUGCAUCAAGGACAACGCGCUCGUCCUGGAGCUGUUCAUGGGCGCGCGGUUCUGCGUGCAGCCGCGCGGGGACAGCUUCACGCGCCGCUCGCUGUUCGACUGCAUGGUGGCCGGGGCCGUGCCGGUGCUGUUCUGGCGGCGGACCGCGUACCUUCAGUACCACUGGUAUCUGCCAACUGAAGACGGCCAAGAAGGGGAGUGGUCUGUCUUCAUUGAUCGCGACGAGCUGCGCGCCGGUAAUGUGACCGUGCGCGGCGUGCUGGCGGCCAUCCCAGAGGCGCGGGUGCGGCAGAUGAAGGAGCGCGUGGUGGAGAUGAUACCGCGGUUGGUUUACUCCGCCGCGGACAAGGAUGGGCUCGGCGGCGGCAUGAAGGACGCCAUGGACGUCAUGAUCGACGGCAUGCUGCGGCGGGUCGCUGAGCAGCGGCGGAAUUGGAGGAGGACGUGA